UACGUAGGGUGCGAGCGUUAAUCGGAAUUACUGGGCGUAAAGCGUGCGCAGGCGGUUUUGUAAGACAGGCGUGAAAUCCCCGGGCUCAACCUGGGAAUUGCGCUUGUGACUGCAAGGCUAGAGUACGUCAGAGGGGGGUAGAAUUCCACGUGUAGCAGUGAAAUGCGUAGAGAUGUGGAGGAAUACCGAUGGCGAAGGCAGCCCCCUGGGACGUGACUGACGCUCAUGCACGAAAGCGUGGGGAGCAAAC
Molecule: ribosomal RNA, 250 nt
Filed under: uncultured bacterium
Lineage: Bacteria
Description: partial 16S ribosomal RNA
Rfam family: Bacterial small subunit ribosomal RNA
Source: RNAcentral